Small nuclear RNA from Meriones unguiculatus (Mongolian gerbil), 138 nucleotides. RefSeq annotates it as U4 spliceosomal RNA. Lineage: Eukaryota; Metazoa; Chordata; Mammalia; Rodentia; Muridae. The record is from RefSeq and is a predicted model, not a curated record. The transcript has a single exon.
AGCUUUGCGCAGUGGCAGUAUCGUAGCCAAUGAGGUUUAUCCGAGGCGCGAUUAUUGCUAAUUGAAAACUUAAAAUGUUCAAAUUUUUACUUCUUAUAAUAAUAAAUUAGUUAUAUUCUUCAAAAAAAUUUAAAAAUU